UAGUGAGAAGCUAUGAAAGGCUGUGAAAAUGUCUCCAUGGGACCAGAUCUUCUUGGAGAGUUCUACCUAGAAAUAGUUGUCUUCCUUGUCCAUAUGUUUAUUGACUUCUCCAAAGAUUUGAGAAGGUUUAAGGAGUGAGACUUUCUUCUUGACUUGAGUCUUCAUGACUUGUUGCUGGUCCUUUUGUAGAUUUGGUUGCAUAUUUUUUCUUGAUACGGAAAAUGGAUCGUCCGGUGUUUGCUAUGUAAAGAAGGCUCCUGUGGUGUUUCCUUCAACAAAAGUAUAUGACUGUUUCCAGGACCUGCAGAGAUGAAAGACGCAAAGAAGUGAGAGGAGACAGGGGAAGUCAUGAAGGCGGUGGAAGAAAAGAGGAGACAUGGAACACAUUAACUUUGACAUCAGUUCUAGAGAAAAGACAUUACAUGACGGCUCGUCUCACUGAAGAGCCGAAUGGCAGUGGGGAAGAGUCAGAGCAGUCCCGCGCUGCCUGCCAUCGUGACCUGCAGGAAGGGAGGCAGCAGGAGUCAGCAGCGAGGGUGCUGAGCCGUGGGGUGCAGGAUGAGGCAGAACACCGCCUGCCCCAAGCUGUAAGCUGUCCUUCUCCCUGCUUACCAACCAGUUGUAGUCCUGGGAAGCUGAGAAGUCAUUUCAGUAAUUUCAGCAGUUUUUAGAUGAGGUUCCCUUUUGUAACCCAACCCUAUUUCCUCCAAAUAUCAUUUAAUUCGGGUCAGGGAGCUGGGCAAUACUGUUACUAGUGAUUUGCCAUAUCACUUUUUUGAUGUCAAUGCUGCUGUUUCUUCGGUCAGGAGGAUCAUCAACGCUCACAGAGAACAAAACUUUCUGUAAAUCCUACAGUCAUCUUCUCCAUGUGAGUAAAUACUCAAGACAAAUUAUAUCUGUAAAAUUACCUGUCGUGCUUUUUUUUUUGCAUUAAAAAGCCAGCUAAAUCUGCAGCAGAUGUAAUAGCACACUUCUGUAGC
This is a long non-coding RNA of Cygnus atratus (black swan), 980 nucleotides long. RefSeq lists it as uncharacterized. The record is from RefSeq and is a predicted model, not a curated record. The transcript is spliced from 3 exons. Lineage: Eukaryota; Metazoa; Chordata; Aves; Anseriformes; Anatidae.